UGGGGAAUAUUGCACAAUGGGGGAAACCCUGAUGCAGCGACGCCGCGUGAAGGAAGAAGUAUCUCGGUAUGUAAACUUCUAUCAGCAGGGAAGAAAAUGACGGUACCCGACUGAGAAACCCCGGCAAACUACGUGCCAGCAGCCGCGGUAAUACGUAGGGGGCAAGCGUUAUCCGGAUUUACGGGUUGUAAAGGGAGCGUAGACGGAGCAGCAAGUCUGAUGUGAAAGGCAGGGGCUCAACCCCUGGACUGCAUUAGAAACUGUUGAUCUUGAGUACCGGAGGGGUAAGCGGAAUUCCUAGUGUAGCGGUGAAAUGCGUAGAUAUUAGGAGGAACACCAGUGGCGAAGGCGGCUUACUGGACGGUAACUGACGUUGAGGCUCGAAAGCGUGGGGAGCAAACAGG
This 404-nucleotide ribosomal RNA is filed under the name uncultured bacterium. RNAcentral's name for it is "bacterial SSU rRNA". It matches the Rfam family "Bacterial small subunit ribosomal RNA", at positions 355 to 776 of the family's 1533-position model. The record is from RNAcentral.